This 566-nucleotide ribosomal RNA is filed under the name Salmonella sp. XN2. RNAcentral's name for it is "partial 23S ribosomal RNA". It matches the Rfam family "Bacterial large subunit ribosomal RNA", at positions 2377 to 2925 of the family's 2925-position model. Lineage: Bacteria; Pseudomonadati; Pseudomonadota; Gammaproteobacteria; Enterobacterales; Enterobacteriaceae. The record is from RNAcentral.
GAGCGUGACGGCGCGAGCAGGUGCGAAAGCAGGUCAUAGUGAUCCGGUGGUUCUGAAUGGAAGGGCCAUCGCUCAACGGAUAAAAGGUACUCCGGGGAUAACAGGCUGAUACCGCCCAAGAGUUCAUAUCGACGGCGGUGUUUGGCACCUCGAUGUCGGCUCAUCACAUCCUGGGGCUGAAGUAGGUCCCAAGGGUAUGGCUGUUCGCCAUUUAAAGUGGUACGCGAGCUGGGUUUAGAACGUCGUGAGACAGUUCGGUCCCUAUCUGCCGUGGGCGCUGGAGAACUGAGGGGGGCUGCUCCUAGUACGAGAGGACCGGAGUGGACGCAUCACUGGUGUUCGGGUUGUCAUGCCAAUGGCACUGCCCGGUAGCUAAAUGCGGAAGAGAUAAGUGCUGAAAGCAUCUAAGCACGAAACUUGCCCCGAGAUGAGUUCUCCCUGAGACUUUAAGUCUCCUGAAGGAACGUUGAAGACGACGACGUUGAUAGGCCGGGUGUGUAAGCGCAGCGAUGCGUUGAGCUAACCGGUACUAAUGAACCGUGAGGCUUAACCUUACAACGCCGAAG